UCAGGGUCAGGGCCUCUGGGACUUAGAGGAA
RNAcentral lists this non-coding RNA (31 nucleotides) under Homo sapiens (human). The record is from RNAcentral. Lineage: Eukaryota; Metazoa; Chordata; Mammalia; Primates; Hominidae.